AACUGAAGGGUAUCUCGAAUCACAUGGAACAAAAGGACAGCAAGGAUAGUGUGAAACCGUGAAAUCAAUGGCGUCAGUGGAGUCAUAUGACAAUCAGAGUGUGUCUUUGGCAAAUAAAGACGUCGCUUUUAUUCUAAGGCCGAAUUGAUUAUUACCUCGGAACCUUUGAUUUGUUUAGAAUUACAGUAAAUUAUACAGGCUGGCAGUGAAUAGUGUGGAGUUAUUUCACCGGUUGAUUAAUAGCAGGCUAGUUAAUAUUUAAAAGGGGACAUUCAAGAGACGAAGGAAUGUCUUUUCUUAGAUGCAUAGAACCGCGUUGUAGCGGAAAUUCGUGAAAACUACUAUAAUCAAAAUCAUAUGCUCAAACAAAAAGGAAUUAAAGGAACACUAAUAUUGGGAAAUCAUUGCAAAGAAAAUUCGACUUUUCAGUUAGAAGAAAUGUUUGCUUGAAACCCGAAGAAGAAAACAGAAACAUUGCUCCGUUUCCUUUGUAAACCUGAUACCUCCGUCACCUUAAUCGAAAUGCGAAAGCGUGAAAAGCACGGAAAUAGAUAUCCCUUCAGCGUUAAUACAAAACGGCAAUGUGCAAGAAGCUAUAACAUACACAAAGAAAAGUAAGCGAUCACAAAUAUGCAGAUUGGAAUUGAAAAACUGACUUCCUUUGAAUUCGAAGUUAAUAUUUAAUGGCGAGUUGUCUGUAUGCACAACUAGGCAAAUCAUUAACAUAGGCUUUCAUAUUCACGAUUGUGAACUCGGAUGUAUUUCAUACAUAAUGCAGAGUCUGGGGGAGAGAUCACCGGUAAGGAUGGCGAGCGAUUCGCUGGGGAAAUCGCCGCGAGAUUGGUACAUAAAACGCUAAGGUGCUAGCGUUAUGAAAGAUGAAACGACUACGCUAUAUGAGACGCGACUAAGGCCUUGAUCAAACGUUCGAAUUACUUGCUAAAGAUGGAAGCGUUUGAAGUUCGCUAAAGCAAGCCUCGAUUCUUCCCACAGGCCUGCCGUGUUUCAUGCCUAACUUUGUGGAGUUUGGUGGGGAAAAAAGCCUGCAUACUAAAAUAUGAGAAGGGGAUAUAGAAAAAAAGAGCCGGCAAAGACCAGAAAACAGCCUGCUAUCGCCGGCAGCAGUUUUGAACCCUGCUAUAUCUAAAAUGGAUGAGUGAUCACGGAAAUGUCGACUGCCAAAUGGCCCAAGGUACCAUGGGUGAUAUGGAUUAAGGACGGACCAUAA
Long non-coding RNA from Nematostella vectensis (starlet sea anemone), 1228 nucleotides. RefSeq lists it as uncharacterized. The record is from RefSeq and is a predicted model, not a curated record. The transcript has 2 exons. NCBI's taxonomy places the organism in Eukaryota, Metazoa, Cnidaria, Anthozoa, Actiniaria, Edwardsiidae.